Molecule: long non-coding RNA, 915 nt
Filed under: Pan troglodytes (chimpanzee)
Lineage: Eukaryota; Metazoa; Chordata; Mammalia; Primates; Hominidae
Description: long non-coding RNA NONPTRT000079
Source: RNAcentral
GGAACGGAUACCUCUGCAACUAUCUGCAACCUGGACCUCUGCAACAGAAAUCUCAGGCCAAAUGGAAAUGGAGCCUUUUAUGAAGUUUCCCUCUUUUUAAGCUGGAAAGUUGGCAGCGACGUCGUUUCGAAGUGAGUCGGAAAGUCUGGGUUGGGCUGGCAACAUCACCCCUAAGAUGAGGGCCGUUUACAAGUUUGUUUAUAAAAAGUGGGGGAGCUGGAGCUGUGUUUUCUUGGCGCUGUGCUGGAAUUCUGACCACUCGAAGAUGAGAUCUCAUUCUAGGAGUGCUUGCUAGUGCCUCCUUCAGGGACCAACCCUGUCAAGUGGGAAGGCAUGAAGUUCGAGAAGUCAGCAUUCCCAGAGGCAGGUCAGCUUGCUUUCAUUCUGUCGUACUCGGUUUCCUUACUUUCCUCCUAACACGUUACCUCUGAAGCAAAUGUUCCCGAGCACUGUCCCCUUCUAGAAAGACCUUGUAUGAGAACCUUAUCUUUGCACAGAGUGUGGAGACCGCCAUUAGGGCAGACGGGAUGGAUUUGACCAACCCAGGUCACAAACCAGUGAUGAUGGAGAGGAGAAUUCCACGAGUUAGCCAGGGCGCAGCGGGACAGAGGGAACCUGGCUCCUUACUUACAACAGCUUCUUGGAGCAAGGAAUCUUGGACAAAAAAAUAAAAGCAUUAGAUCGGUUCAAGGCUAUUUGUUCAACUCCACAUCUAACUCUGCUCUGGGUCCCAGAGACACCAACGUACACAAGAUUCACUCCUUAUGUCCCAGGAGCCCAUGGUCUACCCAGGAAGGCAGAGAAGGAAGACCUGUUCUGUGAGGCUGAAUAACUGAGCUGUGGGUAGGAACCUGAAGAGAGCAGAGCCAGGGCAGACCCCAAGGAGGGGAACUGAGCGGAGCCUGGCAAGAUGAA